AAAGAAUCUAUUUUGCUUGAGAAAAUCCCUACUCAAUUUAACCCCGCUGAUAUGGGUACUAAGGUACUUCCUCUAAUUAAGUUUAAGUCAUGUUUGCAACUCCUAAGAAUUGAUACUGGGUAAACUUUGUGUUUGUUCAAGUGUAUUUGGCUUGGUGUUGAUGAUCUGGGAAGAAUUAUACCAAUUGCUUGAAAAGUCUUUUGUUAUAUAUUUUUUUUUCUUUGUCUUUGUGAGUUUGGAUCAUUGGCAUCAAGGGGGAGAUUUAUUGGGCUGUGAUGCCAAAUAAAUAUAUGUGUGUCCAACCCAUUUGGGCAAUGAUGAUAUUAAAAGGUCCAACAGACACUACCCAACCCAUUGCCCAAUAAUUCAAUGUUGAAAAAGCAACUAAAACCCGGCCCAAACCCAAUAACCCACGUGUGUCGCUCUGGACCCUUUGAUAUACUUAACCUAACAUCUGCGAUGAUGACCCAUUAAUAUAUAAACGGGGUCUGAGUCUUUUGACCCUAAUUCGAGUCAUAUUUUACUCUACCUCUUCGUGAUAUUUUCUCUCGAACCUUCUGGGUUUCUCUCUUCGUGACUCUGUGUCUUCUGCCUCUUAUCCUUCUUCGUAAAUCUUGUGAUUUAGCCACUAAACCUCUGGUUUUCUGGCCACUGUGUGUGCUUCUAGUCUGUGUGACUGUUCGGUUGUGAUUUGUGGAGAGUUUCCCGUUCGUGUUUGAGUGAUUUGGGUCCAUUGUAGCGAUUGCCUCUGUGUUUGUGGUUUGGGACUGUGGUUUAUGAGUUUUCACAUUGUACAAAUGGGUACAAUGCGUGAUCUGAG
This 820-nucleotide long non-coding RNA is filed under the name Olea europaea subsp. europaea. The record is from RNAcentral. Lineage: Eukaryota; Viridiplantae; Streptophyta; Magnoliopsida; Lamiales; Oleaceae.